RNAcentral lists this ribosomal RNA (872 nucleotides) under uncultured Planctomycetota bacterium. RNAcentral's name for it is "bacterial SSU rRNA". It matches the Rfam family "Bacterial small subunit ribosomal RNA", at positions 56 to 932 of the family's 1533-position model. The record is from RNAcentral. Lineage: Bacteria; Pseudomonadati; Planctomycetota.
UGCAAGUCGAACGAAUCCCAUCUGGGUAACUGGGUGGGGGAAGUGGCGAAAGGGGCAGUAAGGCGUGGGCAACCUACCCCGGGGAUCGGGAUAGCCGUCCUAACGGACGGAUAAUACCGGGCGAUCUGGCGAGGAGGCAUCUUCUGGCCAGGAAAUGAAUUUCGCCUCGGGAGGGGCUCACGUAGUAUUAGCUUGUUGGCGGGGUAACGGCCCACCAAGGCCAAGAUGCUUAGCGGGUGUGAGAGCACGACCCGCGCCACUGGCACUGAGACACUGGCCAGACUCCUACGGGAGGCUGCAGUCGAGGAUCUUCGGCAAUGGGCGCAAGCCUGACCGAGCGACGCCGCGUGUGCGAUGAAGGCCUUCGGGUUGUAAAGCACUGUCGAGGGGGAGAAAAGCCCGCAAGGGUCUGAUCUAUCCCUGGAGGAAGCACGGGCUAAGUUCGUGCCAGCAGCCGCGGUAAGACGAACCGUGCGAACGUUGUUCGGAUUCACUGGGCUUAAAGGGCGCGUAGGCGGACGGUCAAGUCGGGGGUGAAAUCUUUCAGCUUAACUGGAAACGUGCCUUCGAUACUGAUCGUCUCGAGGGAGGUAGGGGCAUGCGGAACUUCCGGUGGAGCGGUGAAAUGCGUAGAUAUCGGAAGGAACGCCGGUGGCGAAAGCGGCGUGCUGGACCUCUUCUGACGCUGAGGCGCGAAAGCCAGGGGAGCGAACGGGAUUAGAUACCCCGGUAGUCCUGGCCCUAAACGAUGGGUACUAGAUCGUGGACUUAACAUGGGUUCCCAAUCGAAGCUAAAGUGUUAAGUACCCCGCCUGGGGAGUAUGGUCGCAAGGCUGAAACUCAAAGGAAUUGACGGGGGCUCACACAAGCGG